RNAcentral lists this ribosomal RNA (429 nucleotides) under Chloroflexota bacterium. Its description in RNAcentral is "Chloroflexi bacterium partial 16S ribosomal RNA". It matches the Rfam family "Bacterial small subunit ribosomal RNA", at positions 355 to 776 of the family's 1533-position model. Lineage: Bacteria; Bacillati; Chloroflexota. The record is from RNAcentral.
UGGGGAAUAUUGCACAAUGGGCGCAAGCCUGAUGCAGCCAUGCCGCGUGUUUGAAGAAGGCCUACGGGUUGUAAAGCACUUUCAGCGGGGAGGAAGGCGUUAAGGUUAAUAACCUUGGCGAUUGACGUUACCCGCAGAAGAAGCACCGGCUAACUCCGUGCCAGCAGCUGCGGUAAUACGGAGGGUGCAAGCGUUAAUCGGAAUUACUGGGCGUAAAGCGCACGCAGGCGGUCUGUCAAGUCGGAUGUGAAAUCCCCGGGCUCAACCUGGGAACUGCAUUCGAAACAGGCAGGCUAGAGUCUUGUAGAGGGAGGUAGAAUUCCAGGUGUAGCGGUGAAAUGCAUAAAGACAAAGAGGAAUACCGGUGGCGAAGGCGGCCCCCUGGACAAAGACUGACGCUCAGGUGCGAAAGCGUGGGGAGCAAACAGG